RNAcentral lists this transfer RNA (74 nucleotides) under Escherichia coli. Its description in RNAcentral is "tRNA-Leu(taa)". The record is from RNAcentral. Lineage: Bacteria; Pseudomonadati; Pseudomonadota; Gammaproteobacteria; Enterobacterales; Enterobacteriaceae.
CAUUCGGCUGGCUGACGUUGCUGGUUUCGUUAAUCGAAACGGUCAGGCUGCCGUGCGACACCGCCGCCGCAUGU